Dipodomys ordii (Ord's kangaroo rat) is the source of this 107-nucleotide small nuclear RNA. Lineage: Eukaryota; Metazoa; Chordata; Mammalia; Rodentia; Heteromyidae. The record is from Ensembl.
GUGCUCACUGAGGCAGCACAUGUACGAAAGUUGGAAGAAUACAAAGAAGAUUAGCAUGGCCCCUGUGGAAGGAUGACACACAAGUUUGUGAAGCAUUCCACAUUUAU